UACGAAGGGUGCUAGCGUUGUUCGGAAUCAUUGGGCGUAAAGCGUGCGUAGGCGGCUUGAUAAGUCGGUUGUGAAAGCCCAGAGCUCAACUCUGGAACUGCAACCGAAACUAUCUCGCUAGAGUAUGGUUGGGGAUAGUAGAAUUCCUAGUGUAGGGGUGAAAUCCGUAGAUAUUAGGAGGAAUACCAGUGGCGAAGGCGACUAUCUAAGCCAUUACUGACGCUGAGGUACGAAAGCGUGGGGAGCAAACAGG
This 253-nucleotide ribosomal RNA is filed under the name uncultured bacterium. RNAcentral describes it as "partial 16S ribosomal RNA". It matches the Rfam family "Bacterial small subunit ribosomal RNA", at positions 524 to 776 of the family's 1533-position model. The record is from RNAcentral.